Anneissia japonica is the source of this 485-nucleotide long non-coding RNA. RefSeq lists it as uncharacterized. The transcript is spliced from 2 exons. NCBI's taxonomy places the organism in Eukaryota, Metazoa, Echinodermata, Crinoidea, Comatulida, Comatulidae. The record is from RefSeq and is a predicted model, not a curated record.
UCCUACUUAACGAAGAAGACCUUUCGAAUAGAAAACUGGUAAAUACUCAACAAAACAAAAAGGCUACAUAGUUACCCCAAUGAUACAUCAUGCAUAAUCAUGGUUUUAAAAAAAAAAUGUUUUCAUCCAGUUUUUUAAUUCAGUUAGCCUAUAAUUAUUUUUUGACUUCAUGUGCGUAAAUGUUAAAAUUUUUAAUUUCUGAAAUUUAAUCUAAAUUAUAUUAAUGCAGAGUUAUUGCUAAACCAAUUGGCCAUGUUUGUUUUGGUCACGCGAAUAAUGCUAAUUAACGCACACUGGUUUACAUUAAUUUUAUAUCUAUUUUACAAACCAGUAAAAUGGAAAUAAUACUCAACGAAAAAUUGUAGUCAACAAAAUGAACUAGUCAAAUAAGCCCAUUAACAAUUUAUGCAGGUGUUGUGUAUGCUAUCAAAAACCAGGUUCAAUAGCAAUGGAAUUGCUCCAGAGGAGGAUGAGGGGUGGCAACA